CACCAUAUAUUGAUGUAUGUGUACAUAUACUUGACUACAUGCCGAUAUGAACUUUUCAACAGCAGUACAUAAUAUGGGUUUGGUCCUUGCCAGUUCAUACAUAUACUUGACUACAUGCCGAUAUGAACUUUUCAACAGCAGUACAUAAUAUGGGUUUGGUCCUUGCCAGUUCAUACAUAUACUUGACUACAUGCCGAUAUGAACUUUUCAACAGCAGUACAGAAUAUGGGUUUGGUCCUUGCCAGUUCAUUAUUGGCCCUUCUUCAAUACUGCACAGAAAGCAACCUAGAAAUCCUAGACUUGGC
RNAcentral lists this long non-coding RNA (305 nucleotides) under Populus trichocarpa (black cottonwood). Its description in RNAcentral is "long non-coding RNA (PTRI_LNC002629)". The record is from RNAcentral. Lineage: Eukaryota; Viridiplantae; Streptophyta; Magnoliopsida; Malpighiales; Salicaceae.